CCCUUAGAUGUUCUGGGCUGCACGCGCGCUACACUGAUGCACUCAACGAGUUUACAACCUUAUCCGGAAGGAUUGGGUAAUCUUUUGAACGUGCAUCGUGAUGGGGAUAGAUUAUUGCAAUUAUUAAUCUUCAACGAGGAAUUCCUAGUAAGCGCAAGUCAUCAGCUUGCGCUGAUUACGUCCCUGCCCUUUGUACACACCGCCCGUCGCUCCUACCGAUUGAAUGGUCCGGUGAAGCGUUCGGACCGUGGCCUUUGGACGGUUCGCCGUCUGUUGGCUGCGGGAAGUUCGUUAAACCUUAUCAUUUAGAGGAAGGAGAANUCGUAACA
RNAcentral lists this ribosomal RNA (329 nucleotides) under uncultured eukaryote. Its description in RNAcentral is "partial 18S ribosomal RNA". It matches the Rfam family "Eukaryotic small subunit ribosomal RNA", at positions 1470 to 1796 of the family's 1831-position model. The record is from RNAcentral.